UGGGGAAUUUUGGACAAUGGGGGAAACCCUGAUCCAGCCAUCCCGCGUGUGCGAUGAAGGCCUUCGGGUUGUAAAGCACUUUUUGCAGGAAAGAAACGUCAUGGGUUAAUACCCCGUGAAACUGACGGUACCUGCAGAAUAAGCACCGGCUAACUACGUGCCAGCAGCCGUGGUAAUACGUAGGGUGCAAGCGUUAAUCGGAAUUACUGGGCGUAAAGCGUGCGCAGGCGGUUCGGAAAGAAAGAUGUGAAAUCCCAGAGCUCAACUUUGGAACUGCAUUUUUAACUACCGGGCUAGAGUGUGUCAGAGGGAGGUGGAAUUCCGCGUGUAGCAGUGAAAUGCGUAGAUAUGCGGAGGAACACCGAUGGCGAAGGCAGCCUCCUGGGAUAACACUGACGCUCAUGCACGAAAGCGUGGGGAGCAAACAGG
RNAcentral lists this ribosomal RNA (429 nucleotides) under Acidobacteriota bacterium. Its description in RNAcentral is "Acidobacteria bacterium partial 16S ribosomal RNA". It matches the Rfam family "Bacterial small subunit ribosomal RNA", at positions 355 to 776 of the family's 1533-position model. The record is from RNAcentral. Lineage: Bacteria; Pseudomonadati; Acidobacteriota.